Long non-coding RNA from Meriones unguiculatus (Mongolian gerbil), 2156 nucleotides. RefSeq lists it as uncharacterized. Lineage: Eukaryota; Metazoa; Chordata; Mammalia; Rodentia; Muridae. The record is from RefSeq and is a predicted model, not a curated record. The transcript has 4 exons.
CUUCCCUGCUGCACCCCACUGAGCCUGCAGGGCUGGCUCCAUGCCCAGCUGCAGACUCAGGUUGCGCAGGCGGCUCUGCAGUUGAGAGAAGGUGGAAUCCAGCUCGCUCAGGGAUAAGAGAGAAGCGUUUUCCGGUCUGACCCACCAAACCCUCUGACGCAUGGGGAAUGUGCCUUCCUGAGAGGAGAGUCGGCAAACAUGUCACCCAACUCCCCUAGCCACAGAGUUCCCAUGACAAGGGAAGCCAAUGCUCUGUUCCUCCUCCUGCAUAGAUUCAGUCUCUAGGAAAGCGAACAGGGACCCAGACAUGGAAGCUGCCCAAAUACUUUCAGUCUGCAUUGCCCAACGUGGUGAGUAUGAGCCAAAUGCAGCCCACUUGCUACAGUGGCCAAGAGCACACGUGGAGUUAGACAACAAGUUUGACUCAGGCUGUGUGGCUACAGAAAAGUCUCCUGAGCUCUCUCGGACUCAUUGUUGGCAUCUGUAAAAUGCUAUUAGAUUGACACACAUAGAACAGUUGGCCAAAGAUGCUCAAAUAAAGAUCUGUCAGACGCUCAGCUGCAGCCUUGGAAACAGGGGCCUGCUUAUCAGCUUCUCACUUCCAUCAAGGACACAGCUUUCUGUUUCGGACACUGCUCAGCCAGCUUCGCUCUCUGGACACUGACUCCUGGGCUAGAGAUGUAGCUCAGCGGGUAGAGUACUUACCUAGUGUGCACAAAGGCCCUGGGUUCAAUACCCAGCAUCCCAUAAAAUUGGGAAUGGUGACACCCACUUGUAAACUUUAGCAUUUGAGAAAUGGAACAAGAAACUCAGUGUUUGAGGCCAGCCUGGACUAUGAAAGACCUGUCUCCAAAAACAAAAAAGCAAACACUGACUCCAACAGGAAACCAGAGCUUUUUCUCAAAGGAAAAGAGGUUUAAAACUCAACACAGAAGCUGGGUACCAUGAUGUUGGUCUGGAAUCCUCACAGCACAAUAAGAAAGCUUUCUUCCCAGUUCAUCCAGGACCUUCAGCAAGUGGUUCAGACAAUACUAACCCUCCACGGACAGAUUGACUUGCUGGCAGCAGUAGUACUUCAAAACCGACAUGGAUUGGAUCUCCUCACAGCUGAAGAAAGUGGCCUCUGCACCUCCUCAACCAGUCAGAAUUAUCAACCUCUGCUCACAGAACCAGAUGACAAUGACUCUCCAAUUGACCCUGAUGGUGGGACCAGCUGUACCCUGAGAAUGACGAUGCCCUUAAUCAGCAGGAAGUAGCUUGAAGAACAAAGGUUGCCCCAUGCCCUCCCCACCAUCACCCCUUCCUAGCUCCUCACUUUUUAAUAAAACAAAAAGGGAGGAAUGUUGGGAUCUGUAAGCAGGCAUCUCUAUGGCCAGCCCCAAGGGACCUGACAAACCAGAUAUCAGGCAUCUGUGAAUCCAUGUACAGAACACCUGGAACCACCUGUGAAUGCUCUAGGUCACCUUAUAAGAGAACUCGAAGCUUCCCCCCUUUCUCUCCUGCCUUGUCCAGAGAUAGUCUCUGUGACCCCUUCCCCCUUCCCUUCUCUUCCUCCUUUCCCUAUUAAUAAUAAACUUCCCACGUGGAACCAGUUGAGUGGUGUGAUUUGUGAACCCACCGUGUAACUCUUUUCCACAGGACUCUAGCAAGCGUAAUGGGUAAAAUCUGAAUGAUAGGAAACUAUGCAGGCUUGGAGGUUAAAGAUGGAGUAACUAUUGCCCAGCAUUGUGCUCCAGGUUAAUUAAAAAAAAAAAAUCCUAGUCUCUGUGUGGUGAUAUGGGUAUACAGCUGGUUUAGGAAUAACCGCUGCUGAACUAAAAGAUAGUAAAUAUUAAUAAUUUACAACACCAUCUUGAUUGUAAGGUAAAGUUAAGUUCAGGUUCUCACGUUCCACCUCCCAAAGAUUAAGAUGCUGAUACUUUGUAAGGUCAGAAUAACUUCUUAUUUUGUUCUGUCUCUAUGAUUUCAUUUCUCAAACUUUGUAUACUUUGUUACCUGGACAUCCUGUAAAGUCCCCCAACUACAGAACCAACCAAAAGUUAAAGUUCAGUUAAAGACCUUUGUUUAGCUAGUCAGAAUGAUGUAAUGCUGCCCUAUCCUUUCUUCCUAUACCUGUUUACCUGGUUUUUACCUGGUUGCAGUUUUUCUUGUGGAAA